UGGGGAAUAUUGCACAAUGGGCGCAAGCCUGAUGCAGCCAUGCCGCGUGUGUGAAGAAGGCCUUCGGGUUGUAAAGCACUUUCAGCGAGGAGGAAGGGUAGUGUGUUAAUAGCACAUUGCAUUGACGUUACUCGCAGAAGAAGCACCGGCUAACUCCGUGCCAGCAGCCGCGGUAAUACGGAGGGUGCAAGCGUUAAUCGGAAUUACUGGGCGUAAAGCGCACGCAGGCGGUUUGUCAAGUCAGAUGUGAAAUCCCCGCGCUUAACGUGGGAACUGCAUUUGAAACUGGCAAGCUAGAGUCUUGUAGAGGGGGGUAGAAUUCCAGGUGUAGCGGUGAAAUGCGUAGAGAUCUGGAGGAAUACCGGUGGCGAAGGCGGCCCCCUGGACAAAGACCUGACGCUCAGGUG
RNAcentral lists this ribosomal RNA (407 nucleotides) under uncultured bacterium. Its description in RNAcentral is "partial 16S ribosomal RNA". It matches the Rfam family "Bacterial small subunit ribosomal RNA", at positions 355 to 753 of the family's 1533-position model. The record is from RNAcentral.